RNAcentral lists this ribosomal RNA (383 nucleotides) under uncultured eukaryote. Its description in RNAcentral is "partial 18S ribosomal RNA". It matches the Rfam family "Eukaryotic small subunit ribosomal RNA", at positions 592 to 976 of the family's 1831-position model. The record is from RNAcentral.
CAAUAGCGUAUAUUAAAGUUGUUGCAGUUAAAAAGCUCGUAGUUGGAUUUCUGGUGGGAGCGAUCGGUCUGGCGCUUAGCGCGAGUACUUGCAUCGUCUCCGGCCAUCCUUGGGGAAAGUCUGUCUGGCAUUAAGUUGUCGGGCAGAGGAUCCUCAUCGUUUACUGUGAAAAAAUUAGAGUGUUCAAAGCAGGCUUAUGCCGUUGAAUAUAUUAGCAUGGAAUAAUAAGAUAGGACUUUGGUACUAUUUUGUUGGUUUGCGCACCAAAGUAAUGAUUAAUAGGGGCAGUUGGGGGUAUUCGUAUUCCGUUGUCAGAGGUGAAAUUCUUGGAUUUACGGAAGACGAACUACUGCGAAAGCAUUUACCAAGGAUGUCUUCAUUAA